CCCUGGGCUGCAGCUCAUCUCCCUCUGAGCGGGACUUCUCUGGAGCUCAGCAACUCAGAGAACUAUUGAUGACAGAGCUGGGGCUGAUACCUCCCCCUCUUCUCAAGGCUCAGCUGUUGAGAGAUGCAGAGGCAUCUGAUCCAGUUCCAGAUGUCCUGUCCAGUGGCACCUGUCAAAUCACAGGACUUGAUCUCCUAUCGACACUCCCUUGCUGUGAGGAAUGGGUCGUGCUGGUCGCUCUGUCAGCUCUGGUCACAUUUGCUCAGUUCAGUGCGAGAAGUGGUAGCUGCAGUAAAUACAGAAGGAAGAGCCUGAACUCCAGUGGAAAUCAAAAAACUUUGACCUCGGCUAUACUUCUUCAAUGGCACCUUCAUUUCCUUUCCUCAAGAGAUUCUUUAGAGCUGUGUAUGAAUGGAAACGUGCACAGGGCUUAUUUAAAAAUAAAAGGAUGGGAUCUACAAGUAUUAUAGGCUGCCAUCUGUUGCUUUGUAAUUUCCAAUUUAUAAACAAGCAAAAUAGGUAGAAGUGACUUUGUUAAUGUAUUAUUAUCACUUGUCUAAAUAUAUAUUUGGUUGACUAUAUAUAUGUAUACAAUAUACAUAUUACAUAUAUACAAUAUACAGAUGUAUACAAUAUACAUAUUGCAUAUAAUAUGAAUACAAUAUAGGCUUUACAUUAAUCUGUAUGUAGAUGGUCCUGGAUCACAACAACCCCAUCCAGCAUACCAGGCUGUGGGGGAGUGUCUGGAAACUGCCCAAUGGAAAAGGACCUGAACAUGAGCCAGCCUGUGCCCAGGUGGCCAAGGUGGCUGAUGGCACCCUGGCCUGGAUGAGCAAUGGUGUGGCCAGCAGGACCAGGGCAGGGAUUGUCCCCCUGUACUGGUGAGGCCACACCUCGAGAGCUGUGUCCACUUCUGGGCCCCUCACUGCAAGAAGGACAUUGAGGGGCUGGAGCCUGGCCACAGAAGGAGCUGGUGAAGGGUCUGGAGCACAAAUCUGAUGAGCAGCUGAGGCAGCUGGGGGUGUUUAGCCUGGAGAAAAGAUGGCCCAGGCUCUUGUCCCCCUCUACACCUCCCUGGAAGGAGGCUGUAGCCAGGUGGGGAUUUGGCUUCUUCUCCCAGGGAGCAAGCGACAGGAUGAAAGGAAAUGGCUUCAAGCUGCACAAGGGGAAGUUUAUGCUGGAUAUUAGGAAAAAUUUAUUCAUGGAAAUGGUGGCCAAGCAUUGGAACAGGCUGCAGGGGGAAGUGGUGGAGCCACCAUCCCUGGAGAUAUUUUUUAAAGUGUGGUGCUUAGGGACCUGGCUUAGGGAUGGACUUGGCAAUGUCAGACUUGCAUUUGGACUCAGUGAACUUAAACCUGUUCUCCAACCUAAAUGAUUUUAUGAUUCAAGAUUGGGAUUUUUUUUAAGGUUAGAUGACAUUUUCAUUUUAAAAUAAAAUUAAAGUAAAUAAAGCAUUACUGAACUGCCACAUGUGGCAAGGCUGCUGGCUUGUCAGCAGUUUUUCAAUUUGAGCUCCUUUUUUUUGUCCCAGUCUAAUGGUUCCAUUUAUUGCAAAUUUUUAAAGUUUUGUAUGGGUUGGCAUUUUGGAGCCAAUUGCCUCUUGAUUAUAAAGUAAUAAUAUGCACAAAUUAAGGAAAAGAUGGCACUAAAAAUUUUGGGCCUUGUUCCAGAAACUCGUCUCACAUUCUUAAAUAGUGAGUAACUGUAGCAAAUGUAGCAGGUACAGAGAUGCCUGCCUUUUUGCUUUUGCUUUUUCUAAAUCCCUUUUAUACUCACCCACAUUACUCUUCAUUCUCUGCAGUGAUUUAUCCAUGCAUUGUUAAUCAACUUUAUUUCCCAACACCUCUGCCUACUCUUAUGUUCCAUAGUAACUUUUACAAUUAUGCAAGUCAGCUAUCUUAUUGCAUCCUUGGAGGUACAUGACAAUUGUGUUUUAAGAAAUUGCCUUCAUACAGCAUUGUGUAAAUGACAUAAUAUUGUGCUCUUUUUGCUACCUUGGUAUUAUUUUAAUUAAAAACAGUAGUAAUAAAACAUCUGCAUUUCCACUUCAGUAAACAAAAUUGCCCUAAAGUUAUAAAUGAAUAUUAAAAAUUUUAUCACAAAUAUUGGUGUCUAAUAAAUAUAUGAAUAUUGAUAUAAAGGAGUUUAUUAGAACAACUGCUGCAUGAAAUGGGGGGCAUAUGGGUGUUUUUAAAAAUGCUUGCACAGAUUCCUCAGAUCCUGUCAGAUGCUCCAGAUGGAACAGGAUAACCUAGCAAAGGGAGGCAAGCCCAUUUAAUUCCAGGAAUUAAAAAAGAUAUAGCAAAGCACACACAGGAGUGUUGUGUGUUUCACUUGUGUGCUUUUCUAUCCUAAAGAAACUAGCAGGGACCUAUAGUAGAUCAAAUUGUUUUAGAUUGAAUCUGUCUAGCUAAAGGAGGCUUUAAAGUACUGAAAUCCUGAAGUAUCUGUAUGCAGAUACACGUGGGAAAAAAAACUCUACCUUCAAAUCUGAGAAACAAAGUUUUAAAAGAAACAGCAGUAUCUUUUUAUUUGGUGAGUUUCUGAAGCUGAUUCAGGUUGGAACCUCCUUUGCAGAAUGACACUUGGCAGCAGAUCUGGCAUUUCUUGUCUUCCUAUUGGACAAGGAAAAACUGUAAAUCAUCCCACUGCUUUCCCACAGAGUAUUUUUUGCAAUCCUGCAUUGUUGAUACUAACUACUAACUACGGAGAUGGGUUAACCUUUGCCUUUAGUCAAGUCUGCUGUAAGUCUCCCAUUUAAAAUCAGACAUCACCUUGAUG
Molecule: long non-coding RNA, 2781 nt
Organism: Passer domesticus (house sparrow)
Lineage: Eukaryota; Metazoa; Chordata; Aves; Passeriformes; Passeridae
Exons: 3
Source: RefSeq, a predicted model, not a curated record